UUGUCAGUAUGUUCUCCUCUCUUCAUUCUGUUUUCUGUUUGUCAGUAUGUUGUUCUCCUCUCUUCAUUCUGUUUGUCAGUAUGUUCUCCUCUCUUCAUUAUGUUUUCUGUUUGUCAUAUGUUGUUCUCUCUUCAUUCUGUUUGUCAGUAUGUUGUUCUCUCUUCAUUCUGUUUGUCAGUAUGUUGUUCUCUCUUCAUUCUGUUUUCUGUUUGUCAUAUGUUCUUCUCUCUUCAUUCUGUUUGUCAGUAUGUUGUUCUCUCUUCAUUCUGUUUGUCAGUAUGUUCUCCUCUCUUCAUUCUGUUUUCUGUUUGUCAGUAUGUUGUUCUCUCUUCAUUCUGUUUGUCAGUAUGUUGUUCUCUCUUCAUUCUGUUUGUCAGUAUGUUCUUCUCUCUUCAUU
Labrus mixtus (cuckoo wrasse) is the source of this 397-nucleotide long non-coding RNA. RefSeq lists it as uncharacterized. The record is from RefSeq and is a predicted model, not a curated record. The transcript has 3 exons. Lineage: Eukaryota; Metazoa; Chordata; Actinopteri; Labriformes; Labridae.